Molecule: ribosomal RNA, 389 nt
Filed under: uncultured bacterium
Lineage: Bacteria
Description: bacterial SSU rRNA
Rfam family: Bacterial small subunit ribosomal RNA
Source: RNAcentral
AAUGAACGCUGGCGGCGCGCCUAAUACAUGCAAGUCGAGCGAGAAGACGUAGCAAUACGUUUGUAAAGCGGCGAACGGGUGAGGAAUACAUGGGUAACCUACCCUCGAGUGGGGAAGUAACUAGCCGAAGGUUAGCUAAUACCGCGUACGCUUCUUGGACUUCGGUUCAGGGAGGAAAGCGAUACCGUGGGUAUCGCGCCCUUGGAUGGGCUCAUGUCCUAUCAGCUUGUUGGUGAGGUAACGGCUCACCAAGGCUUCGACGGGUGGCUGGUCUGAGAGGACGAUCAGCCACACUGGCACUGCGACACGGGCCAGACUCCUACGGGAGGCAGCAGUAAGGAAUAUUGCGCAAUGGGCGAAAGCCUGACGCAGCGACGCCGCGUGGGGGA